This 472-nucleotide ribosomal RNA is filed under the name Pseudoalteromonas sp. PA17B(2010). Its description in RNAcentral is "bacterial SSU rRNA". It matches the Rfam family "Bacterial small subunit ribosomal RNA", at positions 1 to 475 of the family's 1533-position model. Lineage: Bacteria; Pseudomonadati; Pseudomonadota; Gammaproteobacteria; Alteromonadales; Pseudoalteromonadaceae. The record is from RNAcentral.
UGUGAGUUUGAUCCUGGCUCAGAUUGAACGCUGGCGGCAGGCCUAACACAUGCAAGUCGAGCGGUAACAUUUCUAGCUUGCUAGAAGAUGACGAGCGGCGGACGGGUGAGUAAUGCUUGGGAACGUGCCGUAAGGUGGGGGACAACCAUUGGAAACGAUGGCUAAUACCGCAUAAUGUCUACGGACCAAAGGGGGCUUCGGCUCUCGCCUUAUGAUCGGCCCAAGUGGGAUUAGCUAGUUGGUAAGGUAAUGGCUUACCAAGGCGACGAUCCCUAGCUGGUUUGAGAGGAUGAUCAGCCACACUGGAACUGAGACACGGUCCAGACUCCUACGGGAGGCAGCAGUGGGGAAUAUUGCACAAUGGGCGCAAGCCUGAUGCAGCCAUGCCGCGUGUGUGAAGAAGGCCUUAGGGUUGUAAAGCACUUUCAGUAAGGAGGAAAGGUUAGUAGUUAAUACCUGCUAGCUGUGACGU